CAGGUGUUGGCAGGGCUGUGCUGCCUUUGAAGAUUCUAGGGAAGAAUCCUGCCUGACUUUUUCCAGUUUUGGGUGGUGGCCGGCAAUGCGCAGCAUUCCUUGGCUUCAGGUUACCUAACCAAACUCCUGUAAAACCACACCACCUAUGCCUGUGAUGGGGACUAUCUGAAUCUACAGUGCCCUCGGCAUUCUACAAUAAGUGUCCAAUCGGCAUUUUAUGGACAAGAUUACCCAAUGUGUAGUUCCCAGAAGCCUGCCUGCCAGAGGGAAGACAGCUUAACUUGUGUGGCACCCACCACCUUCCAGAUGAAUUAAAAAACAAAACCGUGUGUGAAGACAAGGAGCUGAAACUGCACUGCCAUGAAUCCAAGUUCCUCAACAUCUACUCUGUGACCUAUGGCAGGAGGAUCCAGGAAAGGGACAUGUGCUCCUCCAAGGCAGAGCGGCUCCCCCCCUUUUCAGUUUGUGCUUUUGUAUGGGUAUUAGCCGGGGUUCUCUAGAGGGACUGAACUAAUAGGAUAUAUAAUGGGAUAUAUAUAUAUGAUUGUGGAAGUCAAUACUUAAUAACACAAUCACAAUCUUGUGAUCGUGAAUGUUAAUACUUAAUAAACUCCCAUAUGUGUGUG
This 626-nucleotide long non-coding RNA is filed under the name Homo sapiens (human). RNAcentral describes it as "HSALNT0317894". Lineage: Eukaryota; Metazoa; Chordata; Mammalia; Primates; Hominidae. The record is from RNAcentral.